RNAcentral lists this ribosomal RNA (468 nucleotides) under uncultured bacterium. RNAcentral describes it as "partial 16S ribosomal RNA". It matches the Rfam family "Bacterial small subunit ribosomal RNA", at positions 28 to 507 of the family's 1533-position model. The record is from RNAcentral.
GACGAACGCUGGCGGCGUGCUUAACACAUGCAAGUCGAACGGAAAGGCCCGGCUUUUGCGGGGUGCUCGAGUGGCGAACGGGGGAGAAACACGCGAGUAACCUGCGCUUGACUGUGGGAGAACUUCAGGAAACUGGGGCUAAUACCGGAUAGGAGCUCCUGCUGCAUGGUGGGGGUUGGAAAGAUUCGGCGGAUGGGGAUGGACUCGGGGCUAAUCAGCUUGUAGGUGGGGUAGUGGCUGACCAAGGCUUUGACGGGUAGCCGGCCUGAGAGGGUGGCCGGCCCCCAUGGGCCUGCGGUACGGACCAGUCUCCUACGGGCGGCAACGGUCGCGAGUAUUACACAGUGGGGGGACGUCUGUUGCGGCAGCGCCGCGUGCGGGAUGCCGGCCUUCGGGUUGUGAACCGCUUUCGGCUGUGACGAAGCGUGAGUGACGGUAACGGGUAAAGAAGCACCGGCUAACUACGUG